UUCCAGACUCCUACGGGAGGCAGCAGUGGGGGAUAUUGCACAAUGGGGGGAACCCUGGUGCAGCGACGCCGCGUGGGUGAAGAAGCGCCUCGGCUCGUAAAGCCCUGUCAGCAGGGAAGAAAAUGACGGUACCUGAAGGAGAAGCCCCGGCUAACUACGUGCCAGCAGCCGCGGUAAUACGUAGGGGGCAAGCGUUAUCCGGAUUUACUGGGUGUAAAGGGAGCGCAGGCGGCCUUGCAAGUCUGAUGUGAAAGGCCGGGGCCCAACCCCGGGACUGCAUUGGAAACUGCGAGGCUGGAGUGUCGGAGAGGCAGGCGGAAUUCCUAGUGUAGCGGUGAAAUGCGUAGAUAUUAGGAGGAACACCAGUGGCGAAGGCGGCCUGCUGGACGAUGACUGACGCUGAGGCUCGAAAGCGUGGGGAGCAAACAGGAUUAGAUACCCCUGUA
RNAcentral lists this ribosomal RNA (446 nucleotides) under uncultured bacterium. RNAcentral's name for it is "partial 16S ribosomal RNA". It matches the Rfam family "Bacterial small subunit ribosomal RNA", at positions 329 to 792 of the family's 1533-position model. The record is from RNAcentral.